Molecule: ribosomal RNA, 466 nt
Filed under: uncultured bacterium
Lineage: Bacteria
Description: bacterial SSU rRNA
Rfam family: Bacterial small subunit ribosomal RNA
Source: RNAcentral
CCUACGGGCCGCAGCAGUAGGGAAUCUUCGGCAAUGGACGAAAGUCUGACCGAGCAACGCCGCGUGAGUGAAGAAGGUUUUCGGAUCGUAAAACUCUGUUGUUAGAGAAGAACAAGGAUGAGAAGAGAAUGUUCAUCCCUUGACGGCAUCUAACCAGAAAGUCACGGCUAACUACGUGCCAGCAGCCGCGGUAAUACGUAGGUGGCAAGCGUUGUCCGGAUUUAUUGGGCGUAAAGCGAGCGCAGGCGGUUCUUUAAGUCUGAUGUGAAAGCCCCCGGCUUAACCGGGGAGGGUCAUUGGAAACUGGGGAACUUGAGUGCAGAAGAGGAGAGUGGAAUUCCAUGUGAAGCGGUGAAAUGCGUAGAUAUAUGGAGGAACACCAGUGGCGAAGGCGGCUCUCUGGUCUGUAACUGACGCUGAGGCUCGAAAGCGUGGGGAGCAAACAGGAUUAGAUACCCUCGUAGUC